UGGGGAAUAUUGGGCAAUGGGGCGAAAGCCUGACCCAGCAACGCCGCGUGAGGGAAGAAGGUUUUCGGAUUGUAAACCUCUGUCCUUGGUGACGAAGGAAGUGACGGUAGCCAAGGAGGAAGCCCCGGCUAACUACGUGCCAGCAGCCGCGGUAAUACGUAGGGGGCGAGCGUUGUCCGGAAUGACUGGGCGUAAAGGGCGCGUAGGCGGCUUGGUAAGUUAGAGGUGAAAGUCCAGCUUUCAAGGUUGGAACUGCCUUUAAUACUGCUGAGCUUGAGUGCGGAAGAGGUAAGUGGAAUUCCCAGUGUAGCGGUGAAAUGCGUAGAGAUUGGGAGGAACACCAGUGGCGAAGGCGACUUACUGGGCCGUAACUGACGCUGAGGCGCGAAAGCGUGGGG
This 398-nucleotide ribosomal RNA is filed under the name uncultured bacterium. RNAcentral describes it as "bacterial SSU rRNA". It matches the Rfam family "Bacterial small subunit ribosomal RNA", at positions 355 to 766 of the family's 1533-position model. The record is from RNAcentral.